Long non-coding RNA from Homalodisca vitripennis (glassy-winged sharpshooter), 392 nucleotides. RefSeq lists it as uncharacterized. NCBI's taxonomy places the organism in Eukaryota, Metazoa, Arthropoda, Insecta, Hemiptera, Cicadellidae. The record is from RefSeq and is a predicted model, not a curated record. The transcript is spliced from 3 exons.
UGUAGGAUUCAACUCCAUUACGCUUAAGCACAGAGGCUUCACUGUACUCAUCUAUGACCUAGGUGGCAGUUCACAGAUCAGAGGCAUCUGGCACAGGUAUUUUGUUGAUGUCCAUGGAAUCAUCUUUGUUGUCGAUGCCAGUGAUCUGUUGAGAAUUGAUGAGAGCAGAAAAAGUGCUCGAGGAACUGUUUGGCUCACGAUAAACUUGCUGGGAAGCCCUUGUUGUUACUGGCAAACAAACAAGACCGGGAGGGUGCUCUGGACGAGAUUGACAUCGUGGAAAGGCUAAAUGUGGAAAGCUUAGUGAACCAGCAGAAGUGUCCUACGCUGGUGGAGACAUGCUCUGCUGCUGGCGCCCCUGGUGGCCACAAGCCACACCUUGACAGCGGCAU